This 230-nucleotide long non-coding RNA is filed under the name Elaeis guineensis (African oil palm). RNAcentral's name for it is "long non-coding RNA (EGUI_LNC070347)". The record is from RNAcentral. Lineage: Eukaryota; Viridiplantae; Streptophyta; Magnoliopsida; Arecales; Arecaceae.
GUAGCCUCAACCUCCAAUUCAAGAAAUUACUUUAAUUCCUUAGUGGGUACUAGAAUCCACACAGACUACACACGAGCCCAACUUUGGUUGGUCAACCCAUGUGCAUCUAUGGGUAGGUUCAUAACCAGUUGUUUCUCUAAACAACUUCUAGUAAUUGGUUUUGCCCCAGAACCUAAUCAGUAGGCUUUGGCCUCCACUGAAAAGAUCUGAUUAGGUCCAACCAUUAACAU